GAAAGAAUAGUUGUACUGGAAACUGAAAAUGCCCUUCUUCAUUUAAAACUUGCAGAGUAUCAAGAGUUGGCUGGAAGAAGCACUAAUGAAGUUUUGCAGCUCUACUCUGCUCACAGACAGCAGCAGACCUUGCAGAGAAGCUCUGUUGUAACACAGCUUCACAGAGCAAUACAGAGGCUUAAGCAAGACCUGAAGAGCCUCCAUUCAUUUGCCCUUGAGCUUUCAAAAGACCUUCAGCAUCAAUGCAAGACUUAUCUUUACCAAGUUUUGACAACGGUCCAAAG
RNAcentral lists this long non-coding RNA (284 nucleotides) under Apteryx rowi (Okarito brown kiwi). RNAcentral describes it as "lncRNA (ENSARWG00000013667.1)". The record is from RNAcentral. Lineage: Eukaryota; Metazoa; Chordata; Aves; Apterygiformes; Apterygidae.